CCUACGGGGGGCAGCAGUGGGGAAUAUUGGACAAUGGGGGGAACCCUGAUCCAGCCAUGCCGCGUGUGUGAAGAAGGCCCUCGGGUUGUAAAGCACUUUCAGUGAGGAAGAACGCCUGGUGGUUAAUACCCAUCAGGAAAGACAUCACUCACAGAAGAAGCACCGGCUAACUCCGUGCCAGCAGCCGCGGUAAUACGGAGGGUGCGAGCGUUAAUCGGAAUUACUGGGCGUAAAGCGCGCGUAGGUGGCUUGAUAAGCCGGUUGUGAAAGCCCCGGGCUCAACCUGGGAACGGCAUCCGGAACUGUCAAGCUAGAGCGCAGGAGAGGAAGGUAGAAUUCCCGGUGUAGCGGUGAAAUGCGUAGAGAUCGGGAGGAAUACCAGUGGCGAAGGCGGCCUUCUGGACUGACACUGACACUGAGGUGCGAAAGCGUGGGUAGCAAACAGGAUUAGAUCCCCGGUAGUC
RNAcentral lists this ribosomal RNA (464 nucleotides) under Vreelandella stevensii. RNAcentral's name for it is "partial 16S ribosomal RNA". It matches the Rfam family "Bacterial small subunit ribosomal RNA", at positions 338 to 795 of the family's 1533-position model. Lineage: Bacteria; Pseudomonadati; Pseudomonadota; Gammaproteobacteria; Oceanospirillales; Halomonadaceae. The record is from RNAcentral.